This is a long non-coding RNA of Artibeus jamaicensis (Jamaican fruit-eating bat), 1168 nucleotides long. RefSeq lists it as uncharacterized. The transcript has 3 exons. Lineage: Eukaryota; Metazoa; Chordata; Mammalia; Chiroptera; Phyllostomidae. The record is from RefSeq and is a predicted model, not a curated record.
UCCUCAGACCACCAUGACCAUCAUGGGCAUUGCUGCUGCCCUGAGUCUCCUUGGAGCUGUGGCUGCUGGAGCUGUGAUGUGGAGGAGGAAGUGCUCAGGCAGAGGCAGGGAGAGCUACUCUCAGGCUGCCUGGUGACAGAGCUGCUUUCUAUGGGACUUGGUGCUACAACAGUCACUGCAGCCUCCUAUUGGGGCUUUAAGGUCCCUGCUUGCUGUUUCUGCAACCAACAUCAGAAAGUGUUUGCAUUUUCAUCAGUAUUAUGACAGGAGCUGGUCACCAGGUCUACCUCUCCACAGGGACCUGUGUUCUCUCUCCUGGGACUGUCCUGUCCUAGCAGAGGUGGGGUGAGGCCAUCCCCAUCCUGGUCAUUCCUCAGCUGGGACAUCUUUGUGGUUUUCUUGUCCUUCCCACUUGAGGAGAACUGUGUCCCACCAGGACCUGGGACCUCAGGGACUUGAAUGUCACCCAAGCCUUGUGGUGGCUCCAGGACUGUGCUCAGGGAGGGCUUCCUGUGGCCACAUCAGCCUGGGGUCAGGCCUGGGUCUGACCUCAGCCCCUAUCUUUUCGCUUAUUUAUUGAUUCUUUGUUUUCAUGCAUUUUAUACCUUUUCCAUUUACUUGAUUAACUUAUUGGGGUGUUUUUUUUAAAAGUGCAUUUCAUUGGCUUUGGUUCCUGGGAUCAUACAGGACUCCGUUGUAUGUUUCUAUGAUGUUGUGCAAUGAGGAGUCUCUCCACCAGUGGGUUUUGAGUCCUGGGUAAAUGACACUUGUUUUUACAUCUGGAAUCCAGACGUUCCUUGCAGAUACUUGGUUUCAUGUGUACACCAGCACAAUAAAGCAAGUAUCAUAGUAAAGUGACUCACACACACAUUUUGGUUUCCCUGAGCAUAUAAGGUUAAGCUCAUGGUAACUUUAGUCUAUAAAUGCUAAAAGCUAUUAUGUCUAAAAAGUAAUGUACAGCCCUGGCUGGAGCAGUUUAAUGGGUUGAGUGCAGGGUUGCAAACCAGAGGGUGACCGUUUCAAUUCCGAGUGAGGUUACACGCCUGGGUUGCAGGUCAGGUCCCCAGUUGGGGACGUGUUAGAGGCAACCACACAUUGAUGUUUCUCUCCCUCUCUUUGUCCCUCCCUUGCCCCCCCAAAAUAAAUAAAUAAAAAAAUUUAAGAAGUA